AAGUCGUAACAAGGUAACCGUAGGUGAACCUGCGGUUGGAUCAUUAUUGUAUCCCAACUUAUCUCUUUUGAAAGAGUGUAGUGUGCAAACGCUCCUCUCUUUCAAAAGGAUAAACACACCGUGUGAACUUUUUUCUGUCUUUUGCUGAUGCUCGGUACUUGUAUACGCUGAUGAAGAGCUUUAGGGCUCCCAGUCAGAGUUUAAGAGUAUACGGUCAGCAAAACAACUUAUAAACCCCUAGAUUAACAUCCAGUCUUAAAAACUACUUUAUCAAUAAGAUAAAAACAACUUUUGACAACGGAUCUCUAGGCUCUC
RNAcentral lists this unclassified non-coding RNA (315 nucleotides) under fungal sp. RNAcentral's name for it is "partial internal transcribed spacer region". The stretch from base 1 to 46 matches the Rfam family "Eukaryotic small subunit ribosomal RNA", at positions 1786 to 1831 of the family's 1831-position model. Lineage: Eukaryota; Fungi. The record is from RNAcentral.